CUUUCGCGUCUGCGGUGCCCGGAGUGUGGUACUUCUCCUAGUUGCAGUCAGGCUUCAUACGCUAUUGUCCUGCCCGUUAGAGCAGCCAGCGGGUACAGAAUGGAUUUUGGAAGAGGGAGUCACCACUGGACCUCCAAGGAAGCCACGUGCAGACAUCUACAACCUUCGAUCUCCUGACGAGUUUAUUGUUGGCCAAAACCAGGCUUUGAUUGAACCAGGAUGAAUGCGGGUGUUGGAAGUAGAAUAUAUAUAUACAUAUAAAAUUGAAACUGGCGG
This 276-nucleotide long non-coding RNA is filed under the name Homo sapiens (human). Its description in RNAcentral is "non-protein coding ZFAS1:22". The stretch from base 181 to 267 matches the Rfam family "ZNFX1 antisense RNA 1 conserved region 3". Lineage: Eukaryota; Metazoa; Chordata; Mammalia; Primates; Hominidae. The record is from RNAcentral.